CUUCCUUUCCUGCAUUAAGCAAAUGAUGCUCCGAUGUUUCUAGGUCUCUCCACCACUGCAAAAUGCUCAGAGAAGUGGAGGGAGUGAAAAGGAAGUUGCCUACUAGUCUGAAGGAUACUGGAAAGUCGCCUUCAAAUCUAAAGUGAAGACUGGGGGUCGGGGGAUGCCCCCUUCCUGAAGAGGGAAUAAGGGUCCCUCCCCUAAAAAGGAACCUCUGUUCGGGUGAAGGCUUUCCCCACCCUGAAAGAGAGGCGUGUAUGUGGAAAGGUGGUGGAAUGUUGUACCCUGAAGAGGAGCCUGGAUUUGAAGAAGUGUCCCAACUCUGAAGGAGGAAGAGGCAGCUCCCCAGCCGUACUCACCGAGACUGCCGGCGAAACCGUCCAUCUUGCGGGGAAAGCGCCGGGCUCCGGGCUCAGAGGGGCGGGCACUUCAUUCAGCGGACCGACAGAGUGGCCGACGCUGAGCCUGACCCGCUCGCCCUCUAGGUCGCCCGGCUCGGCUCCCGGCUCCCGCCUCCGUCGUCCGUCCGUUCGCCCUGGGGUAGUCAGCC
This 550-nucleotide non-coding RNA is filed under the name Pongo abelii (Sumatran orangutan). The record is from RNAcentral. Lineage: Eukaryota; Metazoa; Chordata; Mammalia; Primates; Hominidae.